CCGGUUGAUCCUGCCGGACCCCACCGCUAUCGGGGUGGGACUAAGCCAUGCGAGUCGGCGCCCUCCAGCCAACGGGGAGGGCGCGGCGGACGGCUCCGUAACACGUAGCUAACCUACCCUCAGGACGGGAAUAACCCCGGGAAACUGGGGCUAAUUCCCGAUAGGUGAGGAGGCCUGGAAUGGUCCCUCACCGAAAGGGCUCUGGAACCACGCUUCCAGAGCCGCCUGAGGAUGGGGCUGCGGCCGAUCAGGUAGUUGGUGGGGUAACGGCCCACCAAGCCUAUAACCGGUACGGGCCGUGAGAGCGGGAGCCCGGAGAUGGGCACUGAGACAAGGGCCCAGGCCCUACGGGGCGCAGCAGGCGCGAAAACUCCGCAAUGCGCGCAAGCGUGACGGGGCUACCCCGAGUGCCGCCCGCUGAGGGUGGCUUUUCCCCAGUGUAGACAGCUGGGGGAAUAAGGGGAGGGCAAGUCCGGUGUCAGCCGCCGCGGUAAAACCAGCA
Molecule: ribosomal RNA, 502 nt
Filed under: uncultured crenarchaeote
Lineage: Archaea; Thermoproteati; Thermoproteota
Description: bacterial SSU rRNA
Rfam family: Archaeal small subunit ribosomal RNA
Source: RNAcentral